RNAcentral lists this long non-coding RNA (2780 nucleotides) under Monodelphis domestica (gray short-tailed opossum). RNAcentral describes it as "lncRNA (ENSMODG00000035491.2)". Lineage: Eukaryota; Metazoa; Chordata; Mammalia; Didelphimorphia; Didelphidae. The record is from RNAcentral.
AAGAAGGGAUUACUAAGGAGUCGCUGCACAGUGUAAAGAAGCACAAGGUCAAGGAGACCAACAAUCCCUGCGAGGAUCUUCACCGAGAGAGAGGACUUGUUUUGAGGUUUGAGGAAGUGGCUGUUUGGCAAAUCUAAAAGUUGGACUUCCCAAUACCAGUUUUCUAUAAGCACCUUGGUUUGACUUUCAUUUUUGGUCCCCUCUCCCUGAGAUUGAAGGCAAAAUCAGAACAGGAAAUAAUACUUCCCUUUUACCUCAGACUCUUGUCCCCUUCUCUUUUAUAGUAUGGCAAUUUUUUGUAGUCCUGGCUACUGAUGCAUAAAUGCAAUAUUGCUACAAUUGUCCUGUUUGCUUAUAGGACAUAAGUCACUUUAAUUGGGCUUUGCUGGUGAUUCAAGGACCUGUUAUGGUCUUAUUUUUAAUCAUAAUUUAAUACACACAGGAUUUUGGUAUAUAUAUGUAUUUUUGUCAAGAAUUUAAUUUUUUUUCUGUUCUAUUUGGUUUUUGGUUCUUUUGAGAAUUCAUUCAUAUACCUCAUAGCUCAGCCUUGUAUAUUGUGAUGAUUCUAGUGUUUGUCAACACUCUUCUAAGGGGGGAUGGUAUAAUUAUCCUAAAAUCCAAGGGUUAAGAUCUUUUAAAGCAAUUCUAGGAAGAGAAAAUUGCCAAUAUCCUAAAUCAAGAAAGUGGAUCUUCUGAAGAACAUACCAUAAGGAUGCCUAUAGGAAUCACACACUACACCAAAAUGAUCCAGAAUGAACUUUGGGUUAUAAGGAACUGAACUGAAGGGAGUUGAACCUAUCAUUUAUUCUGAAUGUAAACUCUUAUGCCAAAGGUGAGUGCCCCCCAAUUGACUUUUUUUUAUUCCUUUGGCUUCCUCUUCUUCCUCAUUUUCAUCUCCCUUUGUAGAUAAUUCCUCCAAUUCCUCCUCCUUGUAAUUUUUCUUUCUUUUCUUUUCAUGAGGAGUUUGUUUCCUCCUGAUCUCAGGAUUGAUAACAUCAAAGAACUCCUCAAUCAGAGCCAGCAGCUUUUCUUGGUUAAGCUUAACUUCUUCCUCUUCUUCCUUGCCCUCAAGUUUUUUGUUGUUUUUUUUUCUUUUAGGUGCAUCUCUCUGUGCUUGGUUUCCAGGAUCUUCUCUCAAUUGAGUUUCCCAUUCAAAGAACUAGGAUGCUCAAAAACAGGAGUAAUUGAAGUGAGGGAAGGAGAGGGAGGUGUGUGGCUUUAUGAUAAGGAUUCCAAUUUCCUAACAAAAGCCUGAAGGAAAAGGACUGGCCCUAUAGUAAGAAAGAGAAGUUGCUGGUGGAGAAUGAAAGGAUAGAACUCAUAUUCAGCAAGUACUGAAAUAUUAACUGUAAGAGAGAGGAAUAUGCAAAAAGGAGAAAUGGCAAAAGAAAGAAAUUAGAUCCAGUGAAGCAAGAAGCAGCCCACAUGGGGGGAGGGGCUUUAAGGAAGAGACCCAGAAUUCCAAAGGAACAGAGAACUCAAAAUUGCCACUUCAGCUCUGACUCCUUCAACCGAGAGGCUUACUCAAGGAUCUCUGAGACUGGACAUCAAUGGCUUCCUAGUGAACCCCUGAAUGUUGCUCAACUCAACUAUUAUAGAUUGGACUUUAAAGAAGCCAUCUAUUGAGAGAAGCCUCUCCAAGGAUUUUCUCCACCUCUCUCUCCCCCUAGCUUGUUCUGAACUCCCGCAAUUUGACCAGAAUAGCUGAGGAGAAAGGACAAUCAGUAGCUGACCAGAAAGGGGGUCGAGGCUGAGAGGCUGGAACCCUGUGGGUCGAGGAUGAGAGCCUGGACCCCUUUAGUCUGCCAGCUUUUAGGGAUUCCUGCUACCCACUUUCCUUACCCAAACUUCCAUUUUCCCUUCCUUGAGUGAUUCUCUAUUAAAGUGUCAUUAUUUAGAUCAGGUCUGGCUACUUUCUGACACCAAAGAAGGGGACUGAAAAGAUUUGGGGAGAAUCACACCUCUCCCCAAAGAGGAGAGUUAGCUUUCAGGACUAAGAACCAUCUUCUCCUCUGAGGUAGGGAGUGCCAUCAAGUCUUAAGGGAAAGAAGUGGCAGUUGGGAUUACUGGAAGGAUCCAGGGGGCAGGAGAGUUUAUCCUGCCUCUCAACAAGAGAUCAAGAUCUGAGAUCAAGAAGAGGACUAGUCAUUUCACCAAAUCUCUCUCCUCUAGUCCUUAACCUCCUCCUCUUAUAUCACUCUCUGAGGAGACAUACUCUGUCCCUCAAGGAGACUAACCUAGAUUGUCUUUAUCAAGGGGGAAGAGAGGAGACCAAUCCCUUUCUUCUCUCCAUUCUCCCAACUCUUUCUCUCCCUCUCUCUCUAGUUCCCCAGUGUGUGUGUGUGUGUGUGUGUGUGUGUGUGUAUGUGACUCUCUCAUACCUUCUACAUUGACUAGAUCCUUUGUAAAGUAUUAUCAAAAGGCACAGGCAAGAUUUGCAAAGGAUAACAUCGCUUUAUAGGCUUGCAUUCUACCCAAGAGGACACUAUAUGGAGGAGAUUGCAAAUGCAAAUACAUUUCUAAGGAUCAUUUUUCUCCAAAUGUGCAAACACUCUGUUAACAUAAUAGGCAUUUCCAUAGAAUAAGAGAUUGGAUUUUCACUUCCUAACUUGUCUUUGUAAACUUCUCUUGCUUUCAAAUACUGCCACUUCUGCAAAUAACCUCCUACCAUUCCAGAAGAUAAUUAUUGAAGCCUUUAGUGGAUUUAGAGCAUUUCUAUGCUCAAGAGAGGUUUGGCUUGAAAAGAAAGUGAAAUGUUAAAAUAAAUGAAUAAAUUUUAA